UACGUAGGGUGCAAGCGUUAAUCGGAAUUACUGGGCGUAAAGCGUGCGCAGGCGGUUUUGUAAGUCUGUCGUGAAAUCCCCGGGCUCAACCUGGGAAUUGCGAUGGAGACUGCAAGGCUAGAAUCUGGCAGAGGGGGGUAGAAUUCCACGUGUAGCAGUGAAAUGCGUAGAGAUGUGGAGGAACACCGAUGGCGAAGGCAGCCCCCUGGGUCAAGAUUGGCGCUCAUGCACGAAAGCGUGGGGAGCAAACAGG
RNAcentral lists this ribosomal RNA (253 nucleotides) under uncultured bacterium. Its description in RNAcentral is "partial 16S ribosomal RNA". It matches the Rfam family "Bacterial small subunit ribosomal RNA", at positions 524 to 776 of the family's 1533-position model. The record is from RNAcentral.